GACAGAGAGUUUCAUAAUAAACUUAAAUUAAAAGAAGAUAAACUUGAGAAACAGGAGAAGCCUGUAAAUGGUGAAGAUAAAGGAGACUCAGGAGUUGAUACCCAAAACAGUGAAGGAAAUGCCGAUGAAGAAGAUCCACUUGGACCUAAUUGCUAUUAUGACAAAACUAAAUCCUUCUUUGAUAAUAUUUCUUGUGAUGACAAUAGAGAACGGAGACCAACCUGGGCUGAAGAAAGAAGAUUAAAUGCUGAAACAUUUGGAAUCCCACUUCGUCCAAACCGUGGCCGUGGGGGAUACAGAGGCAGAGGAGGUCUUGGUUUCCGUGGUGGCAGAGGGCGUGGUGGUGGCAGAGGUGGUACCUUCACUGCCCCUCGAGGAUUUCGCGGUGGAUUCAGAGGAGGUCGUGGGGGCCGGGAGUUUGCGGAUUUUGAAUAUAGGAAAGACAACAAAGUUGCUGCAUAGUCUACAAACAAGUCUCUGAAAAUAGGUGAAUUUCUAGCUCUUCAUGGUCCUGAACAUUGAUUUCAGUCUUUGCAAAGAAUGAAGAAGUGAAUUCGCUGUACAUUUGUCACCAGCACUGGGUUUUUGUUUUUUGUUUGUUUUUCCGCUUAAUUUCAAAGAUAAAAUGCAGUUACUUUUGGGGGUGGAAGGCUCAUCUUAAAACAUGAGCAUUAAAUAUAUUUGGAAUAGCAGAAGGUUAAGUAAUUUCUUAUGUAUAGUUAAACUAAAGCAGUACUUCAGUGGGACUUAACAAGUAUUUUUUCAUCACUGAAAGGUUUUUUUUUUUUAUCACUAAAUUGUAUUUGGCAAUUGCAAGUUGCCUGCAGAUAGGGCCGUGAUACUGUGUUUUGAGCCACAGAAGGUUGUGUGUGUGUGUGUGUGUGUGUGUGUGUGUGUGUGUGUAUGUGUGUGUCUUUUUCCUCCUUUCUUUUGGGGAAUCCUGUAAUAUGAGGUAGCUUAUUUCGUCAAUUAAUUAGGGUGCUGGAUGGUAGAGAAUUUUGUCAGUCAACUAUGUACACACAGUAAAUACUGUUUCUUAGGCAAAGGUAACUUUUUUAUAUAGUUGUAAAAUUCCAUUAUAUUCCAUUGCCAAAGAAACAUUAAGAACUUUGUAUAGCUGUAUAAAAAGCAACUAAUUUUUUAAAGAAUAAACAUUUUAAAGUCAGC
This 1167-nucleotide long non-coding RNA is filed under the name Homo sapiens (human). Its description in RNAcentral is "long non-coding RNA NONHSAT179665.1". Lineage: Eukaryota; Metazoa; Chordata; Mammalia; Primates; Hominidae. The record is from RNAcentral.